Molecule: ribosomal RNA, 503 nt
Filed under: Dacus axanus
Lineage: Eukaryota; Metazoa; Arthropoda; Insecta; Diptera; Tephritidae
Description: partial large subunit ribosomal RNA
Rfam family: Bacterial large subunit ribosomal RNA
Source: RNAcentral
CCUGUUUAACAAAAACAUGUCUUUUUGAGUUAUUUUUAAAGUCUGACCUGCCCACUGAGAGUUUUUAAAUGGCCGCAGUAUUCUAACUGUGCAAAGGUAGCAUAAUCAAUAGUCUUUUAAUUGAAGGCUGGUAUGAAUGGUUGGACGAGGUAUAAACUGUUUCAUGUAAAUUUAUAAUAGAAUUUUAUAUUUUAGUUAAAAAGCUAAAAUGUUGUUAAAAGACGAGAAGACCCUAUAAAUCUUUAUAUUUUAUAUAAUAUAAAUUUUUUGGAUUUGUUUUAUUUUUAUUAUAUAAAAUAUUUUGUUGGGGUGAUGUUAAAAUUUGAUAAACUUUUAAUUUUUUUUUGUCAUUAAUUUAUGUAUUAUUGAUCCAUUAGUAGUGAUUAUAAGAUUAAGUUACUUUAGGGAUAACAGCGUAAUUUUUUUGGAGAGUUCAUAUCGAUAAAAAAGUUUGCGACCUCGAUGUUGGAUUAAGAUAUAAUUUUAGGUGUAGCUGCUUAAAU